Molecule: ribosomal RNA, 404 nt
Filed under: uncultured bacterium
Lineage: Bacteria
Description: bacterial SSU rRNA
Rfam family: Bacterial small subunit ribosomal RNA
Source: RNAcentral
UGGGGAAUAUUGCACAAUGGGGGAAACCCUGAUGCAGCGACGCCGCGUGAGUGAAGAAGUAUUUCGGUAUGUAAAGCUCUAUCAGCAGGGAAGAUAAUGACGGUACCUGACUAAGAAGCCCCGGCUAACUACGUGCCAGCAGCCGCGGUAAUACGUAGGGGGCAAGCGUUAUCCGGAUUUACUGGGUGUAAAGGGAGCGUAGGUGGUUCGGCAAGUCUGAUGUGAAAGCCCGGGGCUCAACCCCGGGACUGCAUUGGAAACUGUCGGACUUGAGUGCUGGAGAGGUAAGUGGAAUUCCUAGUGUAGCGGUGAAAUGCGUAGAUAUUAGGAGGAACACCAGUGGCGAAGGCGGCUUACUGGACAGUAACUGACACUGAGGCUCGAAAGCGUGGGGAGCAAACAGG